RNAcentral lists this long non-coding RNA (292 nucleotides) under Durio zibethinus. RNAcentral's name for it is "long non-coding RNA (DZIB_LNC001048)". Lineage: Eukaryota; Viridiplantae; Streptophyta; Magnoliopsida; Malvales; Malvaceae. The record is from RNAcentral.
UAGACUUAUACUUUAAUUCCCUCUAAAGGAAAAUAAUAUUGCCAUAUCUAGGUAUACACCAGUGGGGAAUAUUUGUCGUUUGGCGAUUUCAUUCUUCAACUUAACAAGUUUUUAUCUUAUUUCCAAAUCACCCAAAAAAAAACCUCAAAAAAUUCAAUUUAUCUCCAAAUUACAAUCAUUAUCGUUGUGUGUGAUUCAUUAUUUUCGGAAUAAAAUUUAUCCAAACAGCACAGCCAGAGGCGAAAUUAUGGAGCAAACAAAGAUGAUGGCUCCCUCAAAAAAUUUUGAUAAU